RNAcentral lists this transfer RNA (65 nucleotides) under Neotrypaea harmandi. RNAcentral's name for it is "tRNA-Tyr". It matches the Rfam family "tRNA". From Rfam's summary of the family: Transfer RNA (tRNA) molecules are approximately 80 nucleotides in length. The record is from RNAcentral. Lineage: Eukaryota; Metazoa; Arthropoda; Malacostraca; Decapoda; Callianassidae. RNAcentral also lists the same sequence under 1 other name.
AAUAAGAUGGCCGAAAUUUAAGCGAUAGACUGUAAAUCUAUUUAUGAGUAUAUACUCUCUUAUUA